This 166-nucleotide unclassified non-coding RNA is filed under the name soil metagenome. RNAcentral's name for it is "partial contains 5.8S ribosomal RNA, internal transcribed spacer 2, and large subunit ribosomal RNA". The record is from RNAcentral.
AACGCACGAGACCUGCGGACCUGCGGAGGGAUCAUUAGUGAACGCCCUCGCGGGCUUAUAACUAUUCCAAACCUCUGUGAACCGUGCCCUUCGGGGCUAUUUUACAAACAUGGUGUAAUGAACGUCAUAUAUCAUAACAAAACAAAACUUUUAACAAUGGAUCUCU